Molecule: ribosomal RNA, 253 nt
Filed under: uncultured bacterium
Lineage: Bacteria
Description: partial 16S ribosomal RNA
Rfam family: Bacterial small subunit ribosomal RNA
Source: RNAcentral
UACGAAGGGGGCUAGCGUUGCUCGGAAUCACUGGGCGUAAAGGGUGCGUAGGCGGGUCUUUAAGUCAGGGGUGAAAUCCUGGAGCUCAACUCCAGAACUGCCCUUGAUACUGAGGGUCUUGAGUAUGGGAGAGGUGAGUGGAACUGCGAGUGUAGAGGUGAAAUUCGUAGAUAUUCGCAAGAACACCAGUGGCGAAGGCGGCUCACUGGCCCAUUACUGACGCUGAGGCACGAAAGCGUGGGGAGCAAACAGG